ACCGGAUCCCGGGGCAGUAACGUAAGCCCACGAUUUUGCUAAUCUAUCGAAUCCUCGAGGCGAGCGUCAUGAUGGGUCAGGGCACGCACCGACGUGGUGCGUCGCAGGGAAGAGGGGUAUGAUCAAGCACGCUCAGGCGGGCUGGUUGGUCGAUAAUCUCUGCACCGCCGUGCUGCUGUUCGAUCACGAGGCCAGACUUACGCUCAUCAACGCCGCCGGCGAGCAUCUCUUGUCGGCGAGCGCGCGCAAGGUGCUCGGGCGCGGCCCCGACGAACUGUUUCGGGCCACCGCGCUCGCCACCGCCCUACAGCGCGUCCAGGCCAGUGGACAGGCGGUGACCGAAUGGGGUGUGGACCUUACCACCCCCUGGGGCACGAGGAUCUCACUCGAUUUCACGGCC
RNAcentral lists this unclassified non-coding RNA (400 nucleotides) under uncultured bacterium. RNAcentral's name for it is "contains 16S-23S intergenic spacer region". The record is from RNAcentral.